This 288-nucleotide ribosomal RNA is filed under the name uncultured bacterium. Its description in RNAcentral is "partial 16S ribosomal RNA". It matches the Rfam family "Bacterial small subunit ribosomal RNA", at positions 67 to 354 of the family's 1533-position model. The record is from RNAcentral.
CGGUUAAACCGCCCUCGGGCGGACAUACAGUGGCGAACGGGUGAGUAACACGUGACCAACCUGCCCCGCGCUCCGGGACAACCGCUGGAAACGGCGGCUAAUACCGGAUACUCCGCGGCCCCCGCAUGGGGGCGGCGGGAAAGCCCCGACGGCGCGGGAUGGGGUCGCGGCCCAUUAGGUAGUAGGCGGGGUAGAGGCCCACCUAGCCGACGAUGGGUAGCCGGACUGAGAGGUCGAUCGGCCACAUUGGGACUGAGAUACGGCCCAAACUCCUACGGGAGGCAGCAG